Bombus pyrosoma is the source of this 1736-nucleotide long non-coding RNA. RefSeq lists it as uncharacterized. The transcript has 4 exons. The record is from RefSeq and is a predicted model, not a curated record. Lineage: Eukaryota; Metazoa; Arthropoda; Insecta; Hymenoptera; Apidae.
ACCGGCGCCUGAUUUACUAAAAUCCAAAGGAGCAAAACGAAUUCCUACCAAAAGUGUUGCCCACGGGCGAGAUAGGGCCGAUUUUUUUUUUUUAAAUCGACCGUCCUUUGGCGAUGAGACUCGCGUGUCACGGUAGUUCGCGAUCUGGAACGUGGUGAUUUGAAAAGGCAGAACGGCGAAGAAACCCGACUUUAUGCCAGUUAAGAGAUAAUCACGAAAAUUCCUGCAAAGAGAGCAAGAGGAAAGUUGACCCACGUUUUAUAAGAGUGCACGUAUAAGCCCUCUUGUCAGAGAGAAAGAAGGAGUGGGAGUGGAAGAGUUACAAUGAAGCAGGGAGAGGGAGUGGAAACCCGUCAUGCACCACCUACGCGAGGACGGAGAAACCAGGAAGAGAAAGAGAUGCACGAACUGUGUACACCAGGAACGAAGAAAGCUGACGAGAGAAAGAAGAAGAGAAGGAAAGAGUGAAAGAGGAAAAAAUGCGCGGAUUAUGGACAGGGAGGCAGUGACGCUCUGUACCUUCGGCGAUUCUCUCCUGUUGUGUUUUACCUAGGCGAAAGAAGCAAAGAAAAAACAAGGGAAUAAAGGGAUGGCGACACGCUGCAUGUGCGAGCAAGGAAAGAAAACGCAGGCGAGUAACAAAGAGGCGAGAGAUUCCAGUUUGAUUCGUUAGAUGAGAACGCGUGACGAGAAAUCAGCACGAGUCUGAGAAGAAACAAAAAUUCACGCCGCAAAACCACCGCGCAUUUCUAUUCUUAGAUGAUCGAAAGAGAAAGGAGUCGAGAGAGGAGCGGAACAGGAGCGAGAGAAGGGAAAAGGGAAGCAAACGGAGACGGGAAAGGCCGGUGUUAACAAGGCAGAAGGGAUACCACGACACCGUACGGGCCGCGACAGUGGAGGCGACGAGGACGAUUACGUGUUCUGGAAGGACACAAGAGGGGACAACGAGACACAAGGUAGAACGAAGCAGAGAAGCAAGGAGGAUAAUUCAGUGACUUCGAAGCCGGUUUUCCAUGGCAGCCUAUCACGAAACUCGCGAGCAACGAUGAACAAGAGGGAUGAGUCACGGCUGCUCACUCUUCCCACUCUUUCCACCGUGUGGCGAGGUUGCAAAAAAAGAAAAAGAGUCUGCGAGCAGCAACACGAAAGACAGAGAACAGCCAGAAGAUGAAGAAGGUGGUAAAGAAACGAGAAGAUUAGCCCUGACGAUCUCGAGGCUACGGUUCGCCUACGCGUGGCCAGCUCGACGACCUGAGAUAUUUUACGAUGGAUUUAUAACGGACGAUGACGAAACCAAGAGCAUUUUGUUGAACAGACAUUUUGCACGCGUUUCGUUUUUAGAAUCGCUGCUGGAAAUCUCAGACGUUGUUUAAACAGAAUCGUACUCGAUUACUUAUCGAGUGUAACGUCAUGUUAUCAGUGCUGCAACGUAAAUCGCGAUCGACGAUAAAACGGAGGAUAAAUAAAGGGAUUUUGCCGCAUCAUAGAAGUCGCCGCUUUAAGUUAACGAAGAAGCGUUUAGAUAGUACAAUUAACAGAAGGUUUUCGAUAGCUGUCGAUCGGGGGAACCGAGCUAUAAAUAUCCGAGCAGAAAAAUCGGGACGCAAGAAAAGCGUACAAAGAUCCGAUAAGGUAAGAUUCUUCACUCACCUCUGCAAGAGGCUCCUCCUUGGUGACGUCUCCAUUCUUGGGCGCUUCUUCACGGGCAGGCUUGUUCUUGUCCUUCUUGCUGAAGC